UAUUAUGAGGAAGAAGGGAAUUGUUUGGGAUUAAUGAGUUGAUGAAAUCUAAAUAAUUUGGCGGUUCUAAAGGUCUAUUUAGAGAAUUUUGUAUUGUGAUCGAUAGUCCUCGUAAGACCUUACUUAUUAGAUGAUAAUUUAUAUAUCGCUGUUUAGUUGGUUUUGGGAGAUUAUUAUCUUUUAUAUUAUUAUUUUGUAAUUCAAGUCAUGGUGUAGUUAGUUAUAAAGUUAAUAUGAAAUGCUUUUGUUUGGUUGGUGGAUAUAAUUCAAUAAGUUGUAUGGAUUAGGAUUUAAUAGUAAUUUUUUUUAUAAUGGGGAGAUGAAGGGGGCUCUAUAGAGUGCACAUAUUGCCCGUCACUCCUAUUUAUAUGG
RNAcentral lists this ribosomal RNA (372 nucleotides) under Nocticola sp. 1 ZW-2018. Its description in RNAcentral is "partial 12S ribosomal RNA". Lineage: Eukaryota; Metazoa; Arthropoda; Insecta; Blattodea; Nocticolidae. The record is from RNAcentral.